AUUGAACGCUGGCGGCAUGCUUUACACAUGCAAGUCGAACGGUAACAGGCCUUCGGGUGCUGACGAGUGGCGCACGGGUGAGUAAUGCAUCGGAACGUACCCAGAGGUGGGGGAUAACGCAGCGAAAGCUGUGCUAAUACCGCAUGUGAUCUGAGGAUGAAAGCGGGGGACCGAGCAGCAAUGUUUGGCCUCGCGCCUUUGGAGCGGCCGAUGUCGGAUUAGCUAGUUGGGCGGGUAAAGGCCUACCAAGGCGACGAUCCGUAGCUGGUCUGAGAGGACGACCAGCCACACUGGGACUGAGACACGGCCCAGACUCCUACGGGAGGCAGCAGUGGGGAAUUUUGGACAAUGGGCGCAAGCCUGAUCCAGCAAUGCCGCGUGCGGGAAGAAGGCCUUCGGGUUGUAAACCGCUUUUGGCAGGAACGAAACGGUGUCCGCUAAUACCGGGCGCUAAUGACGGUACCUGCAGAAUAAGCACCGGCUAACUACGUG
RNAcentral lists this ribosomal RNA (492 nucleotides) under uncultured bacterium. RNAcentral's name for it is "partial 16S ribosomal RNA". It matches the Rfam family "Bacterial small subunit ribosomal RNA", at positions 29 to 507 of the family's 1533-position model. The record is from RNAcentral.